ACCUGGGUGGCUCAGUCGGUUAAGCACCUGACUUCGGAUCAGGUCAUGAUCUCACGGUUCGUGGGUUCGAGCCCCGCAUCGGGCU
Molecule: transfer RNA, 85 nt
Filed under: Felis catus (domestic cat)
Lineage: Eukaryota; Metazoa; Chordata; Mammalia; Carnivora; Felidae
Rfam family: tRNA
About the family: Transfer RNA (tRNA) molecules are approximately 80 nucleotides in length. Their secondary structure includes four short double-helical elements and three loops (D, anti-codon, and T loops).
Source: Rfam by way of RNAcentral